This 484-nucleotide ribosomal RNA is filed under the name uncultured bacterium. Its description in RNAcentral is "partial 16S ribosomal RNA". It matches the Rfam family "Bacterial small subunit ribosomal RNA", at positions 29 to 523 of the family's 1533-position model. The record is from RNAcentral.
AGUGAACGCUGGCGGCGUGCUUAACACAUGCAAGUCGAACGAGAACGGAUUAUAGCUUGCUAUAAUUGUCAGCUAAGUGGCGCACGGGUGAGUAAUGUAUAGGUAAUAUGCCUCUUACUAAGGGAUAACAAAUGGAAACGUUUGCUAAUACCUUAUACUCCUUAUUAACAGAAGUUAAUAAGGGAAAGAUUUAUUGGUAAGAGAUUAGCCUGUAUUGUAUCAGUUAGUUGGUGGGGUAAUGGCUUACCAAGACUAUGACACAUAACUGGUUUGAGAGGAUGAUCAGUCACACUGGAACUGAGACACGGUCCAGACUCCUACGGGAGGCAGCAGAGGGGAAUAUUGCACAAUGGACGAAAGUCUGAUGCAGCAACGCCGCGUGGAGGAUGACACAUUGCGGUGCGUAAACUCCUUUUAUAUGAGAAGAUAAUGACGGUACUAUAUGAAUAAGCACCGGCUAACUCCGUGCCAGCCGCCGCGGUAA